Molecule: transfer RNA, 72 nt
Filed under: archaeon
Lineage: Archaea
Description: tRNA-Thr
Rfam family: tRNA
About the family: Transfer RNA (tRNA) molecules are approximately 80 nucleotides in length. Their secondary structure includes four short double-helical elements and three loops (D, anti-codon, and T loops). Further hydrogen bonds mediate the characteristic L-shaped molecular structure. tRNAs have two regions of fundamental functional importance: the anti-codon, which is responsible for specific mRNA codon recognition, and the 3' end, to which the tRNAs corresponding amino acid is attached (by aminoacyl-tRNA synthetases). tRNAs cope with the degeneracy of the genetic code in two manners: having more than one tRNA (with a specific anti-codon) for a particular amino acid; and 'wobble' base-pairing, i.e. permitting non-standard base-pairing at the 3rd anti-codon position.
Source: RNAcentral
GCACCGCUAGCUUAGAGGUAGAGCAUUGCACUUGUAAUGCAAAGGUCCCGAGUUCAAUUCUCGGGCGGUGCU